Long non-coding RNA from Neogale vison (American mink), 1804 nucleotides. RefSeq lists it as uncharacterized. The record is from RefSeq and is a predicted model, not a curated record. Lineage: Eukaryota; Metazoa; Chordata; Mammalia; Carnivora; Mustelidae. The transcript has 3 exons.
AUGAAGCCACAGACCAGAGCAGAGCAGAGCAGAAAGGGGUUCUUGCCUGAAUAUUUGAAUAGGAUUAAUGAAAACAUAUCUCCCUGUUCCCCUUUACAGUCCUCAUGGAAAUCCGCUCCGUCCACUGCCUCAGGUGUUCUUCAGUGGUCCAUGUCUUGUAGAAUCUGGUGAAUCUACAACCAGGUAAAGGCCUCAGAGCAGAGGGGAAGCAAAGGGAAUCGAGAGACUUUAAUGCACCAGGCGCUGUUUCACGACGAGUUUAUUUCUCAUUCGUCUUCAUCAGGAUUUCAAGAUUGGAGUGUUGAAUGGACCGCUCACUGACAACUGAUGGGAAGAUCAGUGAUCAAAGAUGGGAGCUAUUUGGAAAGGGGAUGUGCUCUGCUAGGGGGGCUGAUGGGGAAAGGAAGCGGGAACGCCAGGCCCUCAAAGAGAUGUGAUUUAAGCUAAAAGCUCAAGAAGCUGCUGUGGGGGAAGGAGGACAAUGGCUUCCAUCUCCUCAUGGAGGCUGCAUCCCACGUCCAUCCGGGAAAGUGCAGGCAGCCUCUUCAGAAAUGUGGAGUAGUAGCCAAGUGGUGCUCUUGAGUAGCCAAGUGGUGCCAGUUGCGGGAGGCUUCUCCCAUUUUAGCUCAGCUCUGUCUGAGGAGAGAGAACAUUUGUCACUGAAACAAACUGUGUGAGGAAGUCAUGGCCUUUGCGAAGAGACUGAGUGUUCAGAACGUGAUUCCUCUGGCUCGGUCAUUGUCAUUUGCCGGAAGUUUGUUUCGUGGACAUAUUUUCCUAGCCUCAACGAAUUCAGGCCUUUCUGUCGAGUUUCAAUCGAGAAGUGAGGAUUAUGGAGAUUUUUUGGCUUUUCAAUUCAUAGACUACACAGGAGGCCGAUGAAGAUAUUAAUUCCAUUCACAUGCUUUUAUCACUCCCUUCUCGUCUUAGCCUCCUCCCUCAGAGUUUCCUGAUUCGUUCCAGAAACAACAGUAUAGACAUUGUCAGAUUCUAUACUUGACUUUGAACUGACCCACAGUUAAGCUUGAAGGAACAUGAAAGUCUCUUGUUGGUGGAUAGUGCUGGAGAAGUCUAAACAGAGAUGUCUGUGGCCAGGAAGAAUGCCUCGUGGGGACACUUUGGAAGACCAGCAUAUGCUCAGACAAAAUGAGGAACGCUUCACUGGAGAGAGCCACUGACUGAGCCUCUAACUUUGAGUUCUAAUUCUGUCCUCCUAUUUAAGAUGAAAUGAGGCUCUGAAUAAGAAUCCUGCUCUUCUGGAAUCUCAAAAUAUUAAAGCAGAGAAGAACCUGAAUCCUGUCUAAAGCAGCCCUUUCAUUUUCCGGGUCAGGAACAUGGAAGAUCGCAGCGGUACAGGGACUUGCCUGCUGUCACAGAGCUGCGUUAGGACAGAGACGGAAGCAGCCUGAGAUUCUCCCGAUACCCAGGUCACUUCUUUCUGGUGACAAAGAUUCUUUCCUUGACCAAACUUUACUCAGGCUCCUCUGACCUCUGUUCUCAAGUAGAUCUUGACUUUUGGGCUUCCGUGUUUGUUUCUGCAUGUCCAGCUUUAGUGAGAAAUCCUGCUAAGUUGGUUUACACAGAAUCCCCCACUCUUGAUGUCUGAUCGCCCUUGAUACCCGGUCAGAUCACCUGCAGGUGCCAGCUGGUCAACCUGGCCUACCUGUCUUCAGCAAAACUCUUGUCAGGUCGGUUUUGCCAGUAUCCUUCAUGACCCCUCUUAGGGAGGUUUUUUCUUAAUAAUUUUUUUUUCUUUUAAAGUAGGCUCUAUGCCCAGGGUAGAACUCAACAUAGGACUUGAACU